RNAcentral lists this unclassified non-coding RNA (585 nucleotides) under Hevea brasiliensis (rubber tree). The record is from RNAcentral. Lineage: Eukaryota; Viridiplantae; Streptophyta; Magnoliopsida; Malpighiales; Euphorbiaceae.
CACCCACAUACCACAUUUUGGUCAUUAAACUUGUUGGUUUUGGUCAUUUUCUCAAAGCUUAGGUCAAUUUGGCAAAAUUGCCAAUUUUCGGUUUUGGUGCUCCGAAGUUGCACUAUUCCAUUGGUCGAUCUACUGUUGGAAUUUGACAAAACUUCCUUCAUAGAAAAUGUUCCUUAUUGUCUUAAGUGUAUUCUCAUUUUUGGAUCACCUCAAUCGGAGUUUUGUAGCUCAAGUUAUGGUCCAAAAACCACAAUUGGCCGGAUUGAAAUUCUGUCCAGAAUUUCUGGACUAACCAUAACUACAGUGUAAUGAACAGUGACUGCAACUCACUUGUUGAACAGGUUCUGGUCAUAAUUUGGGUUAGGUUUUUUCAUGAAAGUUUUUGGUCUAUAUCUCAGCUUGUUGCUGGUAAAUUUUCAGGUCAGUUGGACCUUUCUACACUGAUUUAUGGCCAAAUGACUAAACACUGUUCAUUUGGUCAUUUUGCCCAGGCAGACUGCAGGUCACCGGGAUUAGGGUAAGCUUUUGAUCCACUUAGUUUGGUUUGGUUUUAUUGGUAUUGUUUCUUCACCAAAGUUGUGCCAU